This 228-nucleotide ribosomal RNA is filed under the name uncultured bacterium. RNAcentral describes it as "partial 16S ribosomal RNA". It matches the Rfam family "Bacterial small subunit ribosomal RNA", at positions 103 to 334 of the family's 1533-position model. The record is from RNAcentral.
CGGGUGAGUAAUGUCUGGGAAGCUGCCUGAUGGAGGGGGAUAACUACUGGAAACGGUAGCUAAUACCGCAUAAUGUCUGCGGACCAAAGCGGGGGACCUCCGGGCCUCGCGCCAUCAGAUGAACCCAUAUGGGAUUAGCUUGUAGGUAAGGUAACGGCUUACCUAGGCGACGAUCCCUAGCUGGUCUGAGAGGAUGAUCAGCCACACUGGGACUGAGACACGGUCCAG